GGAGUAACUACUGGAAACGGUAGCUAAUACCGCAUAACGUCGCAAGACCAAAGUGGGGGACCUUCGGGCCUCAUGCCAUCAGAUGUGCCCAGAUGGGAUUAGCUAGUAGGUGGGGUAAUGGCUCACCUAGGCGACGAUCCCUAGCUGGUCUGAGAGGAUGACCAGCCACACUGGAACUGAGACACGGUCCAG
RNAcentral lists this ribosomal RNA (192 nucleotides) under uncultured Enterobacterales bacterium. Its description in RNAcentral is "partial 16S ribosomal RNA". It matches the Rfam family "Bacterial small subunit ribosomal RNA", at positions 140 to 334 of the family's 1533-position model. Lineage: Bacteria; Pseudomonadati; Pseudomonadota; Gammaproteobacteria; Enterobacterales. The record is from RNAcentral.